UCUCCGUUGGUGAACCAGCGGAGGGAUCAUUACCGAGUUUACAACUCCCAAACCCAAUGUGAACGUUACCAAACUGUUGCCUCGGCGGGAUCUCUGCCCCGGGUGCGUCGCAGCCCCGGACCAAGGCGCCCGCCGGAGGACCAACCUAAAACUCUUAUUGUAUACCCCCUCGCGGGUUUUCUUAUAAUCUGAGCCUUCUCGGCGCCUCUCGUAGGCGUUUCGAAAAUGAAUCAAAACUUUCAACAACGGAUCUCUUGGUUCUG
This 263-nucleotide unclassified non-coding RNA is filed under the name plant metagenome. RNAcentral describes it as "partial contains small subunit ribosomal RNA, internal transcribed spacer 1, and 5.8S ribosomal RNA". The record is from RNAcentral.